This 383-nucleotide ribosomal RNA is filed under the name uncultured eukaryote. RNAcentral's name for it is "partial 18S ribosomal RNA". It matches the Rfam family "Eukaryotic small subunit ribosomal RNA", at positions 592 to 976 of the family's 1831-position model. The record is from RNAcentral.
CAAUAGCGUAUAUUAAAGUUGUUGCAGUUAAAAAGCUCGUAGUUGGAUUUCUGGUGGGAGCGAUCGGUCUGGCGCUUAGCGCGAGUACUUGCAUCGUCUCCGGCCAUCCUUGGGGAGAGUCUGUCUGGCAUUAGGUUGUCGGGCAGAGGAUCCUCAUCGUUUACUGUGAAAAAAUUAGAGUGUUCAAAGCAGGAUUAUGCCGUUGAAUAUAUUAGCAUGGAAUAAUAAGAUAGGACUUUGGUACUAUUUUGUUGGUUUGCGCACCAAAGUAAUGAUUAAUAGGGACAGUUGGGGGUAUUCGUAUUCCGUUGUCAGAGGUGAAAUUCUUGGAUUUACGGAAGACGAACUACUGCGAAAGCAUUUACCAAGGAUGUUUUCAUUAA